AGAGUUUGAUCAUGGCUCAGGAUGAACGCUGGCGGCGUGCUUAACACAUGCAAGUCGAACGAUGAUCCCCAGCUUGCUGGGGGGGAUUAGUGGCGAACGGGUGAGUAACACGUGAGUAACCUGCCCUUGACUCUGGGAUAAGCCUGGGAAACUGGGUCUAAUACCGGAUAUGACUCCUCAUCGCAUGGUGGGGGGUGGAAAGCUUUUGUGGUUUUGGAUGGACUCGCGGCCUAUCAGCUUGUUGGUGAGGUAAUGGCUCACCAAGGCGACGACGGGUAGCCGGCCUGAGAGGGUGACCGGCCACACUGGGACUGAGACACGGCCCAGACUCCUACGGGAGGCAGCAGUGGGGAAUAUUGCACAAUGGGCGAAAGCCUGAUGCAGCGACGCCGCGUGAGGGAUGACGGCCUUCGGGUUGUAAACCUCUUUCAGUAGGGAAGAAGCGAAAGUGACGGUACCUGCAGAAGAAGCGCCGGCUAACUACGUGCCAGCAGCCGCGGUAAUACGUAGGGCGCAAGCGUUAUCCGGAAUUAUUGGGCGUAAAGAGCUCGUAGGCGGUUUGUCGCGUCUGCCGUGAAAGUCCGGGGCUCAACUCCGGAUCUGCGGUGGGUACGGGCAGGCUAGAGUGAUGUAGGGGAGACUGGAAUUCCUGGUGUAGCGGUGAAAUGCGCAGAUAUCAGGAGGAACACCGAUGGCGAAGGCAGGUCUCUGGGCAUUAACUGACGCUG
RNAcentral lists this ribosomal RNA (728 nucleotides) under uncultured bacterium. RNAcentral describes it as "bacterial SSU rRNA". It matches the Rfam family "Bacterial small subunit ribosomal RNA", at positions 8 to 748 of the family's 1533-position model. The record is from RNAcentral.